This 1188-nucleotide ribosomal RNA is filed under the name Triticum aestivum (bread wheat). Its description in RNAcentral is "partial small subunit ribosomal RNA". Lineage: Eukaryota; Viridiplantae; Streptophyta; Magnoliopsida; Poales; Poaceae. The record is from RNAcentral.
CCGCUCUGGAAGGACAAGCCGCAUGACCUCGGCGACGGUACUUCUUCUACUUCUCCGCCCUGGAAGGACCUGCCGCAUGAGCUCGCCGGCGUGGUCCUCUCACGUCCCGCGUCCCACGAUGAUCGCCUCAGCUUUUGCGCCGUUUGCCUGGACUGGCGCCUGGCCGCAAAGCACCAGCGUCUGCUGCUGCCGCCAGCCGUGCCGUGCAUCAACCUUGGCAAAGGCGAGUACCAGAGCCUUAUCGAUGGCAAGGUGCGCCGGUUCCCCAUCCCCAGCGAUUGUCGCGCCGACGCUUCAUUCGGCAGCUUGCUCCUAUUUCAGCAUGGGCCAUCCUCGAGCUGCUUCCUCCAAGACCCAUUCUCUGGAACCACGCCGGCCAUAGAGCUACCCUGCUACUACAACUGGAUGCCCCUUCGUGCUAAUGGCGUCGUCGGCACCUUCAAGCCCCACCACGGGUGUGGCGCGCCACACAACAACAUUCAAAAGAUUGUCCUCUUGUCACCUAAACUCGUCAUUGCUGUGUUCCAAGACUGUCCAUUCCCCAACUAUUCCAAAUUUGGAGGUUUCUGCCUGGGCACGCCACUUCCGCUUUUGUGGUCAGAAGCAGCUGACACAUUCGCUAUUCAGCACCAUGGCGGGACCUUUUGUUACGAGGACGUAGCCUUCCAUGAUGGCAAGAUCUUUGCUGUCUGUAGGAUGGGGAAUCUGUUCACCCAUGAGUUUGUCGGAUAUUCAUUGUCCAAAAGUCGUGUGGAGCAUGUCAUUAAGGAACAACCCAAUGCGGUCUACAUGGACAUGAAAUGCUACCUAGUCACAUCAGCCGACAAGAAAAAGUUACUGAUGGUACGGUGGAGCAUUUGUGAUGUGAUGGACGAGCUCAAGCUUGAUCACCACACGAUGGAUCUGCAUGUAUUCGAGGCAGAGUUGGAUAAGGGCCGGUGGUCUGAGGUAAAAGACUUGGGCGACCAAGUCCUCUUUGUUGGACAGACUGGCUCGAGAGCGUUUGCGGUCACAGGUUCCUCUCAGCACUAUCUCCAGAUUUUUCAUCGAGGGAACCUUGUGUUUCUUUCGGGCGAUGAUUGGUCCCGCAAAUGGGAAUGUAAGCAACAUUCUGUGCAGUGCAAGUGCUUCAAUUGCCGAAAGUUCAAUCAUGGCAUUCCUGUCUAUUGUGUGUUCGACAUAAUGGGC